CAACAUCACCGAAACCCGUAGCAAUAUUCGCAAGCUGCAGCCUUAGCCUUAAGUCCCAAGUAACCUUCAACAAGCACCUGAAAGAUCUACCCAAAUACUUAGCCCACUCAGCCGGCAUUCCGCCACCCGUCAACCAAACCGAAAACUGCGACUGAUCACCCCUCGCCGCCACCUCAGCACGGUAAAACCUCGCCAGCUCAAUCAGCGUGGAAGGCUGUAA
Molecule: long non-coding RNA, 220 nt
Filed under: Linum usitatissimum (flax)
Lineage: Eukaryota; Viridiplantae; Streptophyta; Magnoliopsida; Malpighiales; Linaceae
Description: long non-coding RNA (LUSI_LNC000227)
Source: RNAcentral